GGAAUCUUCCACAAUGGGGGCAACCCUGAUGGAGCAACGCCGCGUGCAGGAUGAAGGCCUUCGGGUCGUAAACUGCUUUUAUGAGUGAAGAAUAUGACGGUAACUCAUGAAUAAGCACCGGCUAACUACGUGCCAGCAGCCGCGGUCAUACGUAGGGUGCAAGCAUUAUCCGGAGUGACUGGGCGUAAAGAGUUGCGUAGGCGGUUAGUAAAGCGAAUAGUGAAACCUGGUGGCUCAACCAUCAGACUAUUAUUCGAACUCACUAACUCGAGAGUGGUAGAGGUAACUGGAAUUUCUUGUGUAGGAGUGAAAUCCGUAGAUAUAAGAAGGAACACCAAUGGCGAAGGCAGGUUACUGGACCAUUUCUGACGCUAAGGCACGAAAGCGUGGGGAGCGAA
RNAcentral lists this ribosomal RNA (398 nucleotides) under uncultured bacterium. RNAcentral describes it as "bacterial SSU rRNA". It matches the Rfam family "Bacterial small subunit ribosomal RNA", at positions 358 to 772 of the family's 1533-position model. The record is from RNAcentral.